Non-coding RNA from Myodes glareolus (Bank vole), 613 nucleotides. The record is from RefSeq and is a predicted model, not a curated record. Lineage: Eukaryota; Metazoa; Chordata; Mammalia; Rodentia; Cricetidae.
UCAGGCCUAGGAAAGUCUGUACCAUUAGGAAAGCUGUUUUUGGAGAUGAUGAGUUUGCUAAAUUACAUAAGGUAGAGGGAUUUUAUAGCUGAUAAAAAGAAACUUAGGGGAGUCCAGGAGACGGGCAUUCACUUAUGUGUACAUUGUCUGUAGCUCAGAGUCCAUACUCUGAAACUUAGUUUACUUUUCACAGUUGUGAGACGAGGGGGAAAUUUCUCCAAAUACAUUUUAUAUGACAUCCUAGAUAAUGAUAUUGUCUUUAGAGGAUGCCACAUAUUAGGCAGUUAUUAUUUUCUCAUGGAACUUUAUUGUGAGACUCUGUAUGUUGCAAAUGAAAACAGGGAAAGAGACAGUGAAGGUGUGUGCAACGUAUACAGUACCAAGAUGACCAUGAUCCUAUGUGAAAAUGGAGGCAGAUUGUUCUUUGCAGAGUAGAGGACUGACUGAAGGAAGCUAAAAAACUGAGACAACUCAUUCUUUAGAUUUGAAGAAUAACAUCUAAAAUGAAAUGUAACAGUUCUCUACAGAGUCAGAUAUGGAUUCCAUUCUGUUCUGUGGGCCUUAAUUCACUCAAAAAAUUGGUAGGUUAAUUCCAAACAUUCAUGUAACCAUG